This is a long non-coding RNA of Cavia porcellus (domestic guinea pig), 582 nucleotides long. RefSeq lists it as uncharacterized. The transcript is spliced from 2 exons. The record is from RefSeq and is a predicted model, not a curated record. NCBI's taxonomy places the organism in Eukaryota, Metazoa, Chordata, Mammalia, Rodentia, Caviidae.
UAUCCUAAAACCUCUUUGAUAAAUCAGUCUAACGUCAAAUCUUGUCAUUUGUAUUUUUGAAAAACCCAAGAAACUGUAUGCUGCUCAAUUAGGAAGCACUAUUUAUACUGCUUUUCCCUCUUUGAAAUAUAAAUGCAAGAAAAUACUUAUAACUGAGAGUGGGUGCCGUGCAUGCACUGUCUGGCAGAAAGCCAGAUGCCGGCUUUUUCUGUGAGUCUGUGCCAUGGCGGACUGCUGAGGAGGAGAGUGAGAAGUCAACAAGAAGCCGAGACCUCUUGUGAGUCAGUGCCAUGCACAGGCUGACUGGGAGACAGCCAGACGCCAGCCCUUCCGAGACCAUGAUCUGGGAGACAAGAAGAGCUAAGGUCUCCCCCCAACCCCCGAGAGCAGCUAGCUGGUCCCGAGAAACACAGACUGUGAUGAUGGCUAAUGAGCCUUCUCAAUGGACGGUUUGACAUGGCCCUACCACAAGCCUACAGGCACCCAGAUGGGACACAUGGGUGUGACUGCCUACAAUGGACAAAAGAAGCAAGGAAGGUCAUGAGUUUGAUUCCCAGUACCAAAAAAAUAAAAAAAAAGAAA